GGGUGAGUAACACGUAUGCAACCUACCUGUAAGCGGGGAAUAACCCGGAGAAAUUCGGACUAAUACCGCAUAACACUGUGAGACCGCAUGGUAUUACAGUUAAACAUUUAUGGUUUACAGAUGGGCAUGCGUAUGAUUAGCUAGUUGGAGAGGUAACGGCUCACCAAGGCAACGAUCAUUAGGGGUUCUGAGAGGAAGGCCCCCCACACUGGUACUGAGACACGGACCAGACUCCUACGGGAGGCAGCAGUGAGGAAUAUUGGUCAAUGGUCGAGAGACUGAACCAGCCAAGUCGCGUGCAGGAAGAAGGUUUUAUGAAUUGUAAACUGCUUUUGCAGGGGAAUAAAGUGUCCGAUGUGUCGGAUUUUGUAUGUACUCUGCGAAUAAGGAUCGGCUAACUCCGUGCCAGCAGCCGCGGUAAUACGGAGGAUCCGAGCGUUAUCCGGAUUUAUUGGGUUUAAAGGGUGCGUAGGCGGGUAUUUAAGUCAGUGGUGAAAGUUUGCAGCUUAACUGUAAAAUUGCCAUUGAAACUGAAUAUCUUGAGUGUAAAUGAGGUAGGCGGAAUGUGUUGUGUAGCGGUGAAAUGCAUAGAUAUAACACAGAACACCAAUUGCGAAGGCAGCUUACUAGAAUACAACUGACGCUCAGGCACGAAAGCGUGGGGAUCAAACAGGAUUAGAUACCCUGGUAGUCCACGCAGUAAACGAUGAAUACUAACUGUAUGCGAUACACAGUAUGCGGUACAGCGAAAGCGUUAAGUAUUCCACCUGGGGAGUACGUUCGCAAGAAUGAAACUCAAAGGAAUUGACGGGGGCCCGCACAAGCGGAGGAACAUGUGGUUUAAUUCGAAGAUACGCGAAGAACCUUACCUAGCCUUGACAUUGAUAGAAUCCGAUGGAAACAUUGGAGUGCCAGUUUACUGGAGCUUGAAAACAGGUGCUGCACGGCUGUCGUCAGCUCGUGUCGUGAGAUGUUGGGUUAAGUCCCGCAACGAGCGCAACCCUCGUCCUUAGUUACUAACGGUUCGGCCGAGGACUCUAAGGAGACUGCCUUCGUAAGGAGGAGGAAGGUGAGGACGACGUCAAGUCAUCAUGGCCCUUACGGCUAGGGCGACACACGUGCUACAAUGGAUAGGACAAUGAGACGCAAUACCGCGAGGUGGAGCAAAUCUAUAAACCUAUUCUCAGUUCGGAUUGUAGUCUGCAACUCGACUACAUGAAGCUGGAAUCACUAGUAAUCGUAGAUCAGCCAUGCUACGGUGAAUACGUUCCCGGGUCUUGUACUCACCGCCCGUCACACCAUGGGAGU
RNAcentral lists this ribosomal RNA (1308 nucleotides) under uncultured Bacteroides sp. RNAcentral describes it as "bacterial SSU rRNA". It matches the Rfam family "Bacterial small subunit ribosomal RNA", at positions 104 to 1411 of the family's 1533-position model. Lineage: Bacteria; Pseudomonadati; Bacteroidota; Bacteroidia; Bacteroidales; Bacteroidaceae. The record is from RNAcentral.